RNAcentral lists this ribosomal RNA (135 nucleotides) under uncultured bacterium. Its description in RNAcentral is "partial 16S ribosomal RNA". It matches the Rfam family "Bacterial small subunit ribosomal RNA", at positions 355 to 507 of the family's 1533-position model. The record is from RNAcentral.
CAAGGAAUAUUGGACAAUGGGCGCAAGCCUGAUCCAGCAACGCCGCGUGGAGGAAGAAGGCUUCGGUUGUAAACUCCUUUUGUGAGGGAUGAGACAAGGACAGUACCUCACGAAUAAGUCACGGCUAACUAGGUG